RNAcentral lists this transfer RNA (87 nucleotides) under Legionella quinlivanii. RNAcentral's name for it is "tRNA-Ser(gga)". It matches the Rfam family "tRNA". Rfam says of the family: Transfer RNA (tRNA) molecules are approximately 80 nucleotides in length. Their secondary structure includes four short double-helical elements and three loops (D, anti-codon, and T loops). Further hydrogen bonds mediate the characteristic L-shaped molecular structure. tRNAs have two regions of fundamental functional importance: the anti-codon, which is responsible for specific mRNA codon recognition, and the 3' end, to which the tRNAs corresponding amino acid is attached (by aminoacyl-tRNA synthetases). tRNAs cope with the degeneracy of the genetic code in two manners: having more than one tRNA (with a specific anti-codon) for a particular amino acid; and 'wobble' base-pairing, i.e. permitting non-standard base-pairing at the 3rd anti-codon position. The record is from RNAcentral. Lineage: Bacteria; Pseudomonadati; Pseudomonadota; Gammaproteobacteria; Legionellales; Legionellaceae.
UGGAGAGGUGGCCGAGUGGUUGAAGGCGCACGCCUGGAAAGUGUGUAUACGGCAACGUAUCGAGGGUUCGAAUCCCUCUCUCUCCGA